RNAcentral lists this ribosomal RNA (449 nucleotides) under uncultured soil bacterium. Its description in RNAcentral is "bacterial SSU rRNA". It matches the Rfam family "Bacterial small subunit ribosomal RNA", at positions 99 to 587 of the family's 1533-position model. The record is from RNAcentral.
CGGACGGGUGAGUAACACGUAGGUGACCUGCCCCGAGGCAGGCGAUAACGGCUCGAAAGGGCCGCUAAUACCCAAAAGGAUCGCCGCAUCAGAGUUACGUCUCGGGAGGGGCCUGCGGCCCAUCAGCUAGUUGGUAGGGUAAUGGCCUACCAAGGCGACGACGGGUAGGGGGCCUAAGAGGGUGAUCCCCCACAUUGGCACUGACACACGGGCCAAACUCCUACGGGAGGCAGCAGUGAGGAAUAUUGCGCAAUGAGCGAAAGCUAGACGCAGCAACGCCGCGUGGACGAUGAAGGCCUUCGGGUCGUAAAGUCCUUUUCAGAGGGACGAGGGACGGUACCUCUGGAAUAAGUCACGGCUAACUACGUGCCAGCAGCCGCGGUAAAACGUAGGUGGCGAGCGUUAUCCGGAUUCACUGGGCGUAAAGCGCCUGCAGGCGGUCUCGUAAG